RNAcentral lists this ribosomal RNA (544 nucleotides) under Neofusicoccum luteum. Its description in RNAcentral is "eukaryotic LSU rRNA". The stretch from base 221 to 374 matches the Rfam family "5.8S ribosomal RNA". Lineage: Eukaryota; Fungi; Ascomycota; Dothideomycetes; Botryosphaeriales; Botryosphaeriaceae. The record is from RNAcentral.
UAACAAGGUUUCCGUAGGUGAACCUGCGGAAGGAUCAUUACCGAGUUGAUUCGAGCUCCGGCUCGACUCUCCCACCCCAUGUGUUACCUACCUCUGUUGCUUUGGCGGGCCGCGGUCCUCCGCACCGACCCCCGUUCGGGGGGCCGGCCAGCGCCCGCCAGAGGACCACAAAACUCCAGUCAGUAAACGUCGCAGUCUGAGAAACAAGUUAAUAAACUAAAACUUUCAACAACGGAUCUCUUGGUUCUGGCAUCGAUGAAGAACGCAGCGAAAUGCGAUAAGUAAUGUGAAUUGCAGAAUUCAGUGAAUCAUCGAAUCUUUGAACGCACAUUGCGCCCCUUGGUAUUCCGAGGGGCAUGCCUGUUCGAGCGUCAUUUCAACCCUCAAGCUCUGCUUGGUAUUGGGCUCCGUCCUCUGUGGACGCGCCUCGAAGACCUCGGCGGUGGCGUCUUGCCUCAAGCGUAGUAGAAAACACCUCGCUUUGGAGCGCACGGCGUCGCCCGCCGGACGAACCUUUGAAUUUUUCUCAAGGUUGACCUCGGAU